UGGGGAAUAUUGGACAAUGGGCGCAGGCCUGAUCCAGCCAUGCCGCGUGUGUGAAGAAGGCCUUCGGGUUGUAAAGCACUUUUGUCCGGAAAGAAAGCGAAUCGGCGAAUACCCGGUUUGGAUGACGGUACCGGAAGAAUAAGCACCGGCUAACUUCGUGCCAGCAGCCGCGGUAAUACGAAGGGUGCAAGCGUUAUCCGGAUUUACUGGGUUUAAAGGGUGCGUAGGCGGGCUAUUAAGUCAGAGGUGAAAUCUCCGGGCUCAACCUGGAAACUGCCUUUGAUACGAUUAGCCGUGAAUUAUGUUGAGGUUGGCGGAAUAUAACAUGUAGCGGUGAAAUGCUUAGAUAUGUUAUGGAACACCGAUUGCGAAGGCAGCUGGCUAAACAUAUAUUGACGCUGAUGCACGAAAGCGUGGGUAGCGAACA
This 427-nucleotide ribosomal RNA is filed under the name uncultured bacterium. Its description in RNAcentral is "bacterial SSU rRNA". It matches the Rfam family "Bacterial small subunit ribosomal RNA", at positions 355 to 774 of the family's 1533-position model. The record is from RNAcentral.